This 254-nucleotide ribosomal RNA is filed under the name uncultured bacterium. RNAcentral describes it as "partial 16S ribosomal RNA". It matches the Rfam family "Bacterial small subunit ribosomal RNA", at positions 524 to 776 of the family's 1533-position model. The record is from RNAcentral.
UACGAAGGGUGCAAACGUUGCUCGGAAUUAUUGGGCGUAAAGCGCACGUAGGCGGCUUUGUAAGUCGGAUGUGAAAUCCCUCGGCUUAACCAAGGAAGUGCAUCCGAAACUACAGAGCUUGAGUACUUAAGAGGAUCGCGGAAUUCCCGGUGUAGAGGUGAAAUUCGUAGAUAUCGGGGAGGAACACCAGUGGCGAAGGCGGCGAUCUGGGAAGAUACUGACGCUGAGGUGCGAAAGCGUGGGGAGCAAACAGG